Long non-coding RNA from Triticum aestivum (bread wheat), 628 nucleotides. RefSeq lists it as uncharacterized. The record is from RefSeq and is a predicted model, not a curated record. NCBI's taxonomy places the organism in Eukaryota, Viridiplantae, Streptophyta, Magnoliopsida, Poales, Poaceae. The transcript is spliced from 2 exons.
AAGUCUUGCAUAACCAAAGAUUGAUCAACACACCUGCCUAGUGUUAACAUCUUCCACAAGAAAGAUGGCUAGUUCUAAAGUAAUGUGGGUGUUCUGCCUCCUAGCUUUACUGGCUUUCACUUCUUGUUCUUAUCAUGUACGAGCAGAAGAUCAUGCCACUAAGGAGAAAAAUGAGGUGAUGGAGUAUUGCAAGAGGUACAUAUUCAAAAAUUACGGCGAUCAGUUUCCUGACCCCCACAGGAAAUGUUGCCAAACAGUAAGAGAAUCAAGACACAUCCAUGCUAUACGCCAGAAAUUCACGCACGCGGAUUUGCAUAAGAUCAGUCUAGCCAAGUGGCUCAUGUUACAUAUUGGUGUGGCAACAGAUUGCACCCAGGGACUAAUUGCGCAGGUUUCAUCGUUCCAGAUUAUAGUGCGCCACCACCUCCAGAACACUAAACGUAAGGCCGGUCCGGUCAAAUAAGGAAAGGAGUGUUAUAAUAUGGAGCACUUAGUCUAAGGCAGUCUUAUCGAACAAAGGAAGGGAUGCUAUGAUAUUGAUGCUUUAUCAUAGGACCUCUGCAAUAAUGUAUCUUACUUUUAAUUUUAUGACUAAUAAAAGGACUGCCCGCAUGUUCUCUUUGUGUUU